Non-coding RNA from Hordeum vulgare subsp. vulgare (domesticated barley), 101 nucleotides. The record is from Rfam. NCBI's taxonomy places the organism in Eukaryota, Viridiplantae, Streptophyta, Magnoliopsida, Poales, Poaceae.
AAAAUUCCGUGAUGAAUUAUGAAAUCUACAACGCAUGUCAAACUUCGGAGAUGCCAUUUAUUUGGCAUUGAUGAGAUGAUGUUUCAUAUUCUGAGCAAAAA